RNAcentral lists this transfer RNA (75 nucleotides) under Aureimonas altamirensis. RNAcentral's name for it is "tRNA-Val". It matches the Rfam family "tRNA". From Rfam's summary of the family: Transfer RNA (tRNA) molecules are approximately 80 nucleotides in length. Their secondary structure includes four short double-helical elements and three loops (D, anti-codon, and T loops). The record is from RNAcentral. Lineage: Bacteria; Pseudomonadati; Pseudomonadota; Alphaproteobacteria; Hyphomicrobiales; Aurantimonadaceae. RNAcentral also lists the same sequence under 24 other names.
GGGCGCGUAGCUCAGCGGGAGAGCACCUCGUUCACACCGAGGGGGUCACAGGUUCGAUCCCUGUCGCGCCCACCA